GCCUGCCCUGUGACCUAGGUUUAACGGCCGCGGUAUCUUGACCGUGCAAAGGUAGCGCAAUCACUUGUCUUUUAAAUGGAGACCUGUAUGAAUGGCUAAACGAGGGCUUAACUGUCUCCUCCCCCCAGUCAGUGAAAUUGAUCUUCCCGUGCAGAAGCGGGAAUUCUUACAUAAGACGAGAAGACCCUAUGGAGCUUUAGACACACCACGGACCAUCUUAAAUCCCUUAGACUAAAAAAUCAACUGGCCCCCGUGUCUAUGUCUUUGGUUGGGGCGACCACGGGGAAAUAAACAACCCCCAUGUGGAACAUGGGCACAUCAACUAGCCCUUUAACUUCAGAGCGACAGCUCCAAAAAUCAGAAUAUCUGACCUUUCAGAUCCGGCAAAGCCGAUCAACGAACCGAGUUACCCUAGGGAUAACAGCGCAAUCCUCUUUUAGAGCCCAUAUCGACAAGAGGGUUUACGACCUCGAUGUUGGAUCAGGACCUCCUAAUGGUGCAGCCGCUAUUUAGGGUUCGUUUGUUCAACGAUUAAAGUCCUACGUGAUCUGA
RNAcentral lists this ribosomal RNA (552 nucleotides) under Poropanchax luxophthalmus. RNAcentral's name for it is "partial 16S ribosomal RNA". It matches the Rfam family "Bacterial large subunit ribosomal RNA", at positions 1857 to 2608 of the family's 2925-position model. The record is from RNAcentral. Lineage: Eukaryota; Metazoa; Chordata; Actinopteri; Cyprinodontiformes; Procatopodidae.